CUGGCCUUUGGCAUGUUAACUGACAUGCUUUCGUUUUCCGAACCCCUAUUUAAAUGGGGCUCCCAAAAUCCGAUUUCGUAAACCGAUUACGCAAUGCCAUUUAUGAGUGGUCAUGUUAACGCUUCAAAAUCGAUUCUGGAAAUCCGCUUCUAAUUGCUGUUUUUCCAAUUCCGCUAUCGAUUUUCACAUUCCCGUAAACGCAACCGCUUUUAAAAGUUCGCGAGUUGUCAAGUUAAGUCUCAUUUUCAGAAUAUUCGGUUAAUAUGGACUUAUUGUGCAGUGAAGGAGAAGCAGAUACAUUAAGACUGAGCAUGAAGCUAACAACAAUAUUAAAGUGAAGAGACUGUGGUGACUGAAUCAGCUGUUUUGCAGACGCCAUAUUUAAGAGGGCCAGCAAAUCCUCUUCAGACCACAACAUGUAAACAAGACAGCGAAAAAUGAUUUCCGAAAUUCUGUUUCUGUCUUGCGGGAAAUGUGUCACAUGUACAGUGACGAUGACAGUGAUGUAACCGAAGUGUAUUCGUGUGUCAGUAGUCGACCGUGCUGACGAAAGCUACACGGAAAAACUGGCAACACGCCGAGAAGUUCGUCUCCACAUCACUCCAGGCGCUACAAGAGUCUUGAAGCCAUCUAAUUGGAUGAUUGGAACCCGUACAAUUGUCCAAUGAGAUCUAUCCAAUGCGAUCGAAGAGCGGCUGAUUCAGUUGUGACGUGCUGUACUGUAGCUGCAUUUUGGCCUGUAUGCCGCACAAGAAACUGAAGUUGAAACGCUCUUGUAAUUUCCCGAAUUGUUCAUCUGGAUAUUACGUAGGUUCAAGGGACGAAGUUGACAACAAGCGUUUCUACAAGUUUCCUAAACAAUCUCAAAAGUUGCUUUUGAAGUGGAAAAGUGUUUGUGAGCUGUCACCUGAUGUGAACUUUGCUACUGCUUUUGUUUGUGGGGAACCUUUCUCCGAAGACGACUUAACGAAUAAAACUAGGCUUAGGCUAGGGGUGUGUUUUCAAAACAAAUGACAAGUGUUCGUUACGUAGCUCCUAAUAUCAGAAGUGUAUCGGUUGAAAUUGACAAGUCCUUAUCAUGAAUGUGAUGAUACGUUCGCGAAAUAAAUAAAUUAUUACCAAGUGCUAGCCGUGCUGUGGCUAGUGAAUUACCAAGCACGAGUUGUGCUGAAAGUGUAGUUCUUUGAGUGAUGCACUCCUUAAAUUUCUUGUUCCCUCUCAAGAUGAAUCUACAGAUGGGAAGAUUGUUAAAAUUACAGAAGAUGAUCCAAUGGUUGACUACGGACUUAAGGAAACAUUAAUGGCAUUGGACUGAGAAGCACGACAAGUUGCAGUAUGAAUGGAAAAAUGUUGUGAAGAAAACUAAAUCUCCACAGCAGGUUUUAUCCAAGAGAAAAACUCUUUUUGUGGUUCCAGAGUUGAAUCAAUACAUUCAUUAAGCACUUUAAAUAUGUGUUAUGUUUGAAUUAACU
Schistocerca americana (American grasshopper) is the source of this 1472-nucleotide long non-coding RNA. RefSeq lists it as uncharacterized. Lineage: Eukaryota; Metazoa; Arthropoda; Insecta; Orthoptera; Acrididae. The record is from RefSeq and is a predicted model, not a curated record. The transcript has 3 exons.